ACCUAUUGUGUGCAAUGGGAAUGAAGAAGAUCAUGAGACCACAUGCUACUGCUCAUCUAACAAACCCAAGGACUGCAAUUCAUUGCCCUCUACCAUUUUCUCCCUGCUGGGAAUGAAAUUCUAGAUUUAGACCCAUUGAAACUUAUCUGAUUUUAUAUUGAAUAUUGAUAUGCACAUGCAUCUCUUGUUGGUGGUAACUCUUUCACAUUGGUACUGUGUUAUGUAUG
Non-coding RNA from Paramuricea clavata, 227 nucleotides. The record is from the annotation of a GenBank genome assembly. Lineage: Eukaryota; Metazoa; Cnidaria; Anthozoa; Malacalcyonacea; Plexauridae.